Mytilus trossulus (common blue mussel) is the source of this 788-nucleotide long non-coding RNA. RefSeq lists it as uncharacterized. The record is from RefSeq and is a predicted model, not a curated record. NCBI's taxonomy places the organism in Eukaryota, Metazoa, Mollusca, Bivalvia, Mytilida, Mytilidae. The transcript has 5 exons.
AAAAAAAAGUGGUAUAAAGGAACUGUUCUGUCUGUAUUGUCUGGGACUGAUGGCAGUGUGAAUGCUGUUUAUGAGAUCAAAUAUGAAGGAGAGGAUGAGGCUUAUGAAAUUAACCAUUUAAUUCAAGAUUACCAGUCUGGAUCUGUUGAGUUUUGUGAUAUAUAGCCAAACUUCAGUUUAGACUAACAGGAUUAUUGGAACUUGGAAAAACAGUAGAUUUUUUUGAAACAUAGACUACUAAUUUGAAGAAUAUUGGACUGGUGAACUUUUCUUGUUGUUUGUAAAUGAUAUUUUAUAAUAGUACUCAUCACAAGGAAGAUUUUGAUGUAUAACAUGACAGUAACUAUUUUGAUCAUAUCCAAUAUUCUGGUACAACAUAUUCUCAGGAUAAUGAAUGUUACGGGUACAUAGGAUUUAUAUUUGGGUACCAGUCAACACAGAAAUACUAUGUUGCACUAUGGAGACAUAAAUAUAAUAACAUGGAUGACAGAGGAGGCACCAAAGGGGUACAAAUAAGGAGAAAACAAGGCAUUGUAUUUGAAUGGUUCCAGUUAUGGGACUCUAGGAAACUUAUCAUCAUUGGGAAUUGAAAAGAGUUUUACUGUAGAGGGUUGGAUUAAUUUACCAAUAGGAUAUUCUUCUGCUAAACUUCCAUUUGUAUGUUCCAAUUCAAGUGAUUUUUGUGUGUAUAUAGAGAAUUGGAAUUUGCAUACACAAAUAGGAAGCAGAAUUGUCAGUGGAUCAACUGUGUUACCAGCAAAUGAUUGGACACACAUAGCAAGUGUGUA